AAGGCUGGCUGGAUAGUCGUGCAGUUUUAACUGUAAGGAAAGUCCGAACACCAAAGAGCAGGAAGCCUAAGAAAUUUAGGGUGCAGUAAUGUAACGGAAAGUGCAACAGAAAGUAAACAGCCACUUAGUGGUAAUGGUGAAAAGGUGUGGUAAGAGCACACCGCACACUCUUGUAAAAGAGGGUGGCAAGGUAAACCCCUUCCGGUGCAAGACCAAGUAGGUUCUCUUAUGUGGGUUGCUCGUCUGCAAUUAAAGAGAAUGGGUAGGUCGCUUGAUCAAUCUUUAGGAUUGGAAAAGAUAAAUGACUAUCACUGUUAAUUUUUUAACAGUACAGAAUUCGGCUUAUAAUCCGGCCUUUCCU
Molecule: RNase P RNA, 361 nt
Filed under: Candidatus Cloacimonadota bacterium
Lineage: Bacteria; Pseudomonadati; Candidatus Cloacimonadota
Also listed under: 1 other name
Description: Candidatus Cloacimonetes bacterium RNase P RNA component class A
Rfam family: Bacterial RNase P class A
About the family: Ribonuclease P (RNase P) is a ubiquitous endoribonuclease, found in archaea, bacteria and eukarya as well as chloroplasts and mitochondria.
Source: RNAcentral